GGAGAGGUGCCGGAGUGGUCGAACGGGCUCGCCUGGAGAGCGAGUGUACCCCAAAAGGGUACCGUGGGUUCGAAUCCCACCCUCUCCG
RNAcentral lists this transfer RNA (88 nucleotides) under Bacillota bacterium. Its description in RNAcentral is "tRNA-Ser". It matches the Rfam family "tRNA". Rfam says of the family: Transfer RNA (tRNA) molecules are approximately 80 nucleotides in length. Their secondary structure includes four short double-helical elements and three loops (D, anti-codon, and T loops). Further hydrogen bonds mediate the characteristic L-shaped molecular structure. tRNAs have two regions of fundamental functional importance: the anti-codon, which is responsible for specific mRNA codon recognition, and the 3' end, to which the tRNAs corresponding amino acid is attached (by aminoacyl-tRNA synthetases). tRNAs cope with the degeneracy of the genetic code in two manners: having more than one tRNA (with a specific anti-codon) for a particular amino acid; and 'wobble' base-pairing, i.e. permitting non-standard base-pairing at the 3rd anti-codon position. Lineage: Bacteria; Bacillati; Bacillota. RNAcentral also lists the same sequence under 2 other names. The record is from RNAcentral.